AAAAAGGGUACUCACUCUACUUGAAUACUCAUAGUGCACUGUUGGCUGCACAUUGUGCGGACGACAGUGAGGUAUGGAUAUCAAGAUCAUACCUAGUACACAAUUUUUGGAACCAGGGGCUGUUAUACAUUGAAGACGCCUCU
Molecule: small nuclear RNA, 143 nt
Organism: Sitodiplosis mosellana (orange wheat blossom midge)
Lineage: Eukaryota; Metazoa; Arthropoda; Insecta; Diptera; Cecidomyiidae
Product: U11 spliceosomal RNA
Exons: 1
Source: RefSeq, a predicted model, not a curated record